Molecule: ribosomal RNA, 427 nt
Filed under: uncultured bacterium
Lineage: Bacteria
Description: partial 16S ribosomal RNA
Rfam family: Bacterial small subunit ribosomal RNA
Source: RNAcentral
UGGGGAAUAUUGCACAAUGGACGCAAGCCUGAUGCAGCCAUGCCGCGUGUAUGAAGAAGGCCUUCGGGUUGUAAAGUACUUUCAGCGGGGAGGAAGGCGAUAAGGUUAAUAACCUUGUCGAUUGACGUUACCCGCAGAAGAAGCACCGGCUAACUCCGUGCCAGCAGCCGCGGUAAUACGGAGGGUGCAAGCGUUAAUCGGAAUUACUGGGCGUAAAGCGCACGCAGGCGGUCUGUCAAGUCGGAUGUGAAAUCCCCGGGCUCAACCUGGGAACUGCAUUCGAAACUGGCAGGCUAGAGUCUUGUAGAGGGGGGUAGAAUUCCAGGUGUAGCGGUGAAAUGCGUAGAGAUCUGGAGGAAUACCGGUGGCGAAGGCGGCCCCCUGGACAAAGACUGACGCUCAGGUGCGAAAGCGUGGGGAGCAAACA